RNAcentral lists this ribosomal RNA (207 nucleotides) under uncultured bacterium. RNAcentral describes it as "partial 16S ribosomal RNA". It matches the Rfam family "Bacterial small subunit ribosomal RNA", at positions 568 to 774 of the family's 1533-position model. The record is from RNAcentral.
CGCGUAGGCGGCUUGGCAAGUCAGAUGUGAAAGCCCCGAGCUUAACUUGGGAAUUGCAUCUGAAACUGUUGAGCUUGAGUCCUGGAGGGGAUAGUGGAAUUCCCAGUGUAGCGGUGAAAUGCGUAGAUAUUGGGAGGAACACCUGUGGCGAAGGCGGCUAUCUGGACAGUGACUGACGCUGAGGCGCGAAAGCUAGGGGAGCGAACG